AAUCAACGCUGGCGGCGUGCCUAACACAUGCAAGUCGAGCGCGAAAGGGAGCUUCGGCUCCUGAGUAGAGCGGCGGACGGGUGAGUAACACGUGGGCAACCUACCUCCGGGUGGGGAUAACUUCGGGAAACCGGGGCUAAUUCCGCAUAACAUUUCGGGCUCAUAAGAGUCUGUUAUCAAAGCUGGGGACCUUUCGGGGCCUGGCGCCUGGGGAGGGGCCCGCGGCCGAUUAGCUUGUUGGUGAGGUAAUGGCUCACCAAGGCUGCGAUCGGUAGCCGGCCCGAGAGGGCGGACGGCCACACUGGGACUGAGACACGGCCCAGACUCCUACGGGAGGCAGCAGUGGGGUAAGUUUUUUGUCAAGUCGGGGGAAACCCUGAACAAGCAACGCCGCGUGGAGGAUGAAGGCCUUCGGGUCGUAAACUCCUGUCGGAGGGGACGAAAGCGGUUGGGGUUAAUAACCUCAGUCGUUGACGGUACCCUAUGAGGAAGCCCCGGCUAACUCCGUG
This 509-nucleotide ribosomal RNA is filed under the name uncultured bacterium. RNAcentral describes it as "bacterial SSU rRNA". It matches the Rfam family "Bacterial small subunit ribosomal RNA", at positions 28 to 507 of the family's 1533-position model. The record is from RNAcentral.